GCCUGGGUGGCUCAGUUGGUUAAGCAUCUGACUUCAGCUCAGGUCACGAUCUUGCCGUUUGUGAGUUCAAGCCCUGCAUCAGGCU
RNAcentral lists this transfer RNA (85 nucleotides) under Felis catus (domestic cat). It matches the Rfam family "tRNA". Rfam says of the family: Transfer RNA (tRNA) molecules are approximately 80 nucleotides in length. Their secondary structure includes four short double-helical elements and three loops (D, anti-codon, and T loops). Lineage: Eukaryota; Metazoa; Chordata; Mammalia; Carnivora; Felidae. The record is from Rfam by way of RNAcentral. RNAcentral also lists the same sequence under 4 other names.